Zingiber officinale is the source of this 102-nucleotide small nucleolar RNA. The record is from RefSeq and is a predicted model, not a curated record. Lineage: Eukaryota; Viridiplantae; Streptophyta; Magnoliopsida; Zingiberales; Zingiberaceae.
AAACUAUGAUGGGGGCAUAGUCGAAGCAUCCCUUUAAACUAUCCGAUGCUUCAAACAAAGAUUUGUUGGUGCAGGAAACAUAAGAUGAUUGAACCUAAGUAU